UCGUAACAAGGUCUCCGUAGGUGAACCUGCGGAGGGAUCAUUACACAAUAACAAGGCGGGCUGGACACCCCCCGCUGGGCACUGCUUCACGGCGUGCGCGGCGGGGCCGGCCCUGCUGAAUUAUUCACCCGUGUCUUUUGCGUACUUCUUGUUUCCUGGGUGGGCUCGCCCGCCCUCAGGACCAACCACAAACCUUUUGCAAUAGCAAUCAGCGUCAGUAACAACGUAAUUAAUUACAACUUUCAACAACGGAUCUCUUGGUUCUGGCAUCGAUGAAGAACGCAGCGAAAUGCGAUACGUAGUGUGAAUUGCAGAAUUCAGUGAAUCAUCGAAUCUUUGAACGCACAUUGCGCCCUUUGGUAUUCCAAAGGGCAUGCCUGUUCGAGCGUCAUUUGUACCCUCAAGCUUUGCUUGGUGUUGGGCGUCUUUUGUCUCCAGUUCGCUGGAGACUCGCCUUAAAGUCAUUGGCAGCCGGCCUACUGGUUUCGGAGCGCAGCACAAGUCGCGCUCUUUGCCAGCCAAGGUCAGCGUCCAGCAAGCCUUUUUUUCAACCUUUGACCUCGGAUCAGGUAGGGAUACCCGCUGAACUUAAGCAUAUCAAUAA
RNAcentral lists this unclassified non-coding RNA (604 nucleotides) under Alternaria triticimaculans. RNAcentral's name for it is "sequence contains 18S rRNA gene, ITS1, 5.8S rRNA gene, ITS2, 28S rRNA gene". The stretch from base 238 to 391 matches the Rfam family "5.8S ribosomal RNA". Lineage: Eukaryota; Fungi; Ascomycota; Dothideomycetes; Pleosporales; Pleosporaceae. The record is from RNAcentral.